AAUAUGCCUACUUUAUAUAUUUUAUAAAUUGAUAGUUCUGUACUUAAAAGUGUUCAAGUUUCAUCUAAUUUUUGCAUGUUUGUACAGAAAAUUCGUGUUGCCAUGACUAAUAUGACGUGGGCAACGCGAGCCUGCGUUCAGUAUUGGCGUAAUAACGAAUACUUCAUGUUGAAACAAUGUUUGGGAAAUAUAGGCGAGGGGUUGUUGCAUGCAUAUAUUUCUCGUACCAGAUAAGAUAUGGGAACACGAAAAAUCUGAGAGCGCAUUACACGGUAAAAAAGCCGUAUUGCCCUGGUCUAAACAUGUUUUUCCUGGUUAGGACGAAGCAAAAAUCGAACUUUUUUGAGUGAUAAACAACUGUGACAAACACACUACAGAAAAUCACUAUAGGUCACAGCCGACUCCUGACUCGAAUAUAAUGUUACGAACACAUAAACAGUAAUAAAAUAAGUCUAUAGAACUGCAAGAGUAAAACAGCAAACUUGCGAGCAGUUUCGACCUUCUAAAAUCAUGACAACUUACUUGAACAUUAUUGAAGUAUAAUUGGACCGUUUGCAUGGACGCAAAAUAUUAGGCUCGUACGCCAAAGCUUUCUCGUUGGACAGUUUCUUGUUUUUGUCUUUUUGAAGCAAUUGGAUGAAAACUAGAAAACUUGAUGUACAGGUUUUUGUAUUUGUAAUAUUUUAUCCAAUCAGAUUAAAGAAUGAUGACUUUAGUGUAAACGGUUGUUCCUAAUUCAGUAUGCAAGUUGUAACUUGUUGUUGUUCUCGUUUCGUUUGAAAUAAUUUGCCUCUUAUAAUGGCAAAUACAUGCAACUCAUUCCAAAAAAGACAUGGAAAUCUUUCCUUUCAGCUUUGUCAUAUAAUAAAAAUCCUAUUAAAUGGUUAGACAUAUAAUCCUGCCUUAUCCGGCCGAUAAUUUUACUCGUUUCUCCCAUUUUUUCUUGCCCUUUCAGCGCUCGGAAAAAUACGUUCGAAACUCGUAAAAUAAUCUGCCCAAUUAUAUGUCAAACCAUUCAAAAAGACAUAUUUAUUAUUUGGCUUUGCAGAAAGGUUUCCGAUGAAUAAUACUGUUUUUAAGAACGAGAGACCUCGUCAAACAUUUAAGGAUGGGGGGAGGGACGCCAUUGUUUUUGGUUUGCCGGGAAAAUGACUGUUUGCCCCCAUAUCAUGCCUGAUCAGCAUGCCUGGGAAACACAAAGUAUGGAUUAUAACAAUUUCGCUUAGGUCUGACAAAUUUUCCAUCAACAUGCAUGUAGUUUCUCGGAUACUGGCUAAUAAUGGUCUGCCAGCUUUUCAAAAUUUGCAAUACUAAAUUGACAUGAACAAGAUAAUUUGUAUAAGUUCAUUACUUGAUUUAAUUAACAGCAUAAUAUUUGACACAAUAUUUCACAAAUAUUCAUAGGCUUCUAGAUAUCAUAUUACAUCACAUCAUGUUAUAAUAAUAAUAAUAAUAAUAUUUAUUCAGGAAGCUCCACUCACCGAAGUGUUUUUCAAGUGUUUUUUUUUUAUACACCAAACUGCAUGCGGUCAAGGAUUCAAACAUCGAUUUUGAACAAGAAUAUUUGUAAAUUUGUGUAUCAAAUUGGGUCGUUAGGGACGGACCAUUAGAUGUUUGAAGGGGGGGGGGGAAAUCCCAAAAAAAAAUUGCGCACAGAAAAAUAAAAAAAAUCCAAAAAAAAUCCCCCAAAAAAUCGAGCAAGAAUUAGGGAUGAUUUUUAAAAUCAUAAUGUAAUUAUUCUAAAACACUAAAACGGUGUUUUAUGACAAUCGAAAAAAAAUUUCCGGGAAAAUUUUUUUAGAUCAUCUUAAAAAAUAUAUCGUGCAAAGGAAUAUUGCAGCAAUUGGGGGAUGAAAAAAAAUUCGCGCACAGAAAAAUUGCCCAACCUCCCCUCAAAUAUCUAAUGGUCCAUCCCUUACAGGGGCGGAUUCAGGUUUAUAUAAACCUGUCAGGUUUGACAGGUUUAUAUAAACCUGUCAGAUUUUCCAAAGAAAUAAAAUCUAUAACCUUCCAUCUACAUAUAUAACUAAUUUAAAGAAUAUUCUGUUUCAUAAACUUGAUGUUGACUGAUCUAUUACGCCAUUUAAAUACUGUUAUUGAAAUUUGAUACUGGAUUACCGAAGGUAUUUAGACCAACUUACAUAAUAAGCAUUUAAUUAAUUAAGGACUUAUAUAUCGCGUUGGUUUCCUCUUACGAAAUGUUGUAAUACUAGACAAAUAAUCUGCUAAUGUAUCGUCGUGGGUCGUGGACAUCGCAUGAGUCACACAUAACCGCCCGCAAUUAUGAGUAAACCAGGUGGUCAGAGUUUCUCAAUGAGAGAAAACCUGUCGAUGCGCCAUUCGUUUAUAAUUUUGCGUGACUGAAUCAUUGCGUUGGCGAUAGAAGCAUUUACAUGGAUUUCUUGUUCAUUUUGAAGGUUUGUUUAAAAGUUUAUAGUCUAAAGUUAUAACUGUAAGCUAUUUCUACUUACUGUAUAAUAAAUAUCGAUCCGUCAACAAGCGCAUCAAUCUUUAUACGUGUAUUAACUUCUACACAGUCUACACUCAUGAUAGCGCGAAAUAUAUGUAUAAAUAUAAUAUUGCGUGACCGAAUCAUUGCGUUCGCAAUAGAGAAUCAGGAGAUAAUUGUCAAGCUUUCACGCUCUUGCAGUUUAGUUUCUAUUUCAUUGUUAAAGCGGUUGGUUUGAAAGCGUAUAGAUCUGAAUUUAUAACUAUGUUUAUAUUAAAAGCAUCUCUACUUGUUAUACUUAUAAUAAAUAUCGAUGCCUCAGCAAUUUGCCAAUCCCAUAUUUUUAUCACUAGCUAAUAAG
Paramuricea clavata is the source of this 2810-nucleotide non-coding RNA. NCBI's taxonomy places the organism in Eukaryota, Metazoa, Cnidaria, Anthozoa, Malacalcyonacea, Plexauridae. The record is from the annotation of a GenBank genome assembly.